This 254-nucleotide ribosomal RNA is filed under the name uncultured bacterium. RNAcentral describes it as "partial 16S ribosomal RNA". It matches the Rfam family "Bacterial small subunit ribosomal RNA", at positions 524 to 776 of the family's 1533-position model. The record is from RNAcentral.
GACGUAGGGCGCGAGCGUUGUCCGGAUUUAUUGGGCGUAAAGAGCUCGUAGGCGGCUUGUUGCGUCGACCGUGAAAACCCGGGGCUCAACUUCGGGCUUGCGGUCGAUACGGGCAGGCUAGAGUUCGGUAGGGGAGACUGGAAUUCCUGGUGUAGCGGUGAAAUGCGCAGAUAUCAGUGAGGAACACCGGUGGCGAAGGCGGGUCUCUGGGCCGAUACUGACGCUGAGGAGCGAAAGCGUGGGGAGCGAACAGG